This 253-nucleotide ribosomal RNA is filed under the name uncultured bacterium. RNAcentral's name for it is "partial 16S ribosomal RNA". It matches the Rfam family "Bacterial small subunit ribosomal RNA", at positions 524 to 776 of the family's 1533-position model. The record is from RNAcentral.
UACGUAGGGUGCGAGCGUUGUCCGGAAUUAUUGGGCGUAAAGAGCUUGUAGGCGGUUUGUCGCGUCUGCUGUGAAAUUUCGGGGCUUAACCCCGAACUUGCAGUGGGUAAGGGCAUACUAGAGUGUAGUAGGGGAGACUGGAAUUCCUGGUGUAGCGGUGAAAUGCGCAGAUAUCAGGAGGAACACCGAUGGCGAAGGCAGGUCUCUGGGCCAUAACUGACGCUGAUAAGCGAAAGCAUGGGGAGCGAACAGG